RNAcentral lists this ribosomal RNA (395 nucleotides) under uncultured bacterium. Its description in RNAcentral is "partial 16S ribosomal RNA". It matches the Rfam family "Bacterial small subunit ribosomal RNA", at positions 338 to 730 of the family's 1533-position model. The record is from RNAcentral.
CCUACGGGAGGCAGCAGUGAGGAAUAUUGGUCAAUGGACGAAAGUCUGAACCAGCCAUGCCGCGUGCAGGAAGACGGUCCUAUGAGUUGUAAACCGCUUUUGUACGAGAGUAAACCUGAAUACGUGUAUUCAGCUGAAAGUACUGUACGAAUAAGGAUCGGCUAACUCCGUGCCAGCAGCCGCGGUAAUACGGAGGAUCCAAGCGUUAUCCGGAUUUAUUGGGUUUAAAGGGUGCGUAGGCGGGUUGAUAAGUUAGAGGUGAAAUGUCCGAGCUUAACUCGGGAACUGCCUCUAAUACUGUUGAUCUAGAGAGUAGAUGCGGUAGGCGGAAUGUAUGGUGUAGCGGUGAAAUGCUUAGAGAUCAUGAAGAACACCGAUUGCGAAGGCAGCUUACC